UGCGCCUGCGCCGGCGAGUAGAAGCCCCGGAAAUCGGGGCUCGGGUUCGCCGGAACCGGUGCCUGCGGCUACUGCUUCCGGGUCGGAGCCAUGGCGGUGGCAAAUUCAAGCCCCGUCAAUCCCGUGGUGUUCUUUGAUGUCAGCAUCGGCGGCCAGGAGGUCGGCCGCAUGAAGAUCGAGCUCUUUGCAGACGUUGUGCCGAAGACGGCCGAGAAUUUUAGGCAGUUCUGCACUGGAGAAUUCAGAAAAGAUGGGGUUCCGAUAGGAUACAAAGGGAGCACCUUCCACAGGGUCAUAAAAGAUUUCAUGAUCCAGGGUGGGGAUUUUGUUAAUGGAGAUGGUACUGGAGUUGCCAGUAUUUACCGGGGGCCAUUUGCAGAUGAAAAUUUUAAACUUAGACACUCAGCUCCAGGCCUGCUUUCCAUGGCAAACAGUGGUCCCAGUACAAAUGGCUGCCAGUUCUUCAUCACCUGUUCUAAAUGUGAUUGGCUGGAUGGGAAGCACGUAGUGUUUGGAAAGAUCAUUGAUGGACUUCUAGUGAUGCGAAAGAUUGAGAAUGUUCCCACAGGCCCCAACAAUAAGCCCAAGCUACCUGUGGUAAUCUCACAGUGUGGGGAGAUGUAGUCCAGAGCAAGACUGAUCAUCAGGCACAGCAGCGGUGCCUUCCUGGGUGCUGGCACAGUACUUGGUCCAUCUCCGUACGGCAUCUAACGUGGCACAUUACCCCUGUUGGCCUGGUCUUCUCUAGACAGAACUCCUUGAGGCAGGGACCACGCUGACUCACACAGCACCUGGUCUACAAUAGAGCUUAGGUCCUGGAGCACCAUGGGACGGACAAAGUGCAUACCUCCACCUCUGCCACCGGAGGCCUUCCCUUGCUCUGGGUGGCGCUUUGAGGGAGAUCAUCUGGAUUGGCCCCUGUGUUUGCUUCCCUGCCUGCUGCUGACCUUUCUGAUCAAGAGACCUUGGAAGUGUCACAGAUUCAGAACCCAAGACUGUUUACAUUUUCGAUUGUAAAUAAAGUUUUGUUUUGUUUUGUUA
Molecule: RNA transcript, 1041 nt
Organism: Canis lupus familiaris (dog)
Lineage: Eukaryota; Metazoa; Chordata; Mammalia; Carnivora; Canidae
Gene: PPIH
Gene name: peptidylprolyl isomerase H
Exons: 11
Source: RefSeq, a predicted model, not a curated record